This 231-nucleotide long non-coding RNA is filed under the name Panax ginseng (ginseng). RNAcentral describes it as "long non-coding RNA (PGIN_LNC004491)". The record is from RNAcentral. Lineage: Eukaryota; Viridiplantae; Streptophyta; Magnoliopsida; Apiales; Araliaceae.
CAUUGUCAGGGACAUGUAUUUCUUCUUCAGACUCAUCAUUUGACCCAUCAUGAGAGCUUGUUGGAGCAUAUGCAUUUGGAGGUGUAGUUGGGUUAGCUUGUGACUUUUCUUCAUUAUCAGAGUGAAUGUUCUGAGAGUUAGUCAUAUGGCUUGUGCGUUUUCCUUCAUCAGCAGAUUCUACAUUUUCUUCCAAGAAUCCAGCUUCAGCUUCAUUAUCGGAUUCGUUCUUCG